This 1274-nucleotide long non-coding RNA is filed under the name Equus caballus (horse). Its description in RNAcentral is "lncRNA (ENSECAG00000047872.1)". Lineage: Eukaryota; Metazoa; Chordata; Mammalia; Perissodactyla; Equidae. The record is from RNAcentral.
UGGGAGGCAGUCUAAUAAGACUCAGCCCUUAACCUGUGGGAUCUGACACUAUCUCCAGGUAGAUAGUUAUCAGAAUUGAGUUGAAUUGUAGGACACCCAGCUGGUGUCCAAGAAUUGCUUGGUAGUGUGGGGAAAAGACCCACACAUGUUGGAAUUGGUAUCAGAAUCAGAGUCCUUGAUCUAGCAUUUGGGAAGCACUACUCUAGUCGAUUAAAAUUUCAAUUGCCACUUGAAAUAAAUUUUUAGUCUUAAGAAUGUCGUUUCCUGAUGAGACUCUGUUAGUGAGAAGGAGCAAUGACUGGCAAUGGCAUAGAAUUGUCUCUUAACAGAAAUCUUUUUAGAGAAAUUUUCCUUGUGCACCAUUACUCUAUCAUCGUUAGUGAUUUGCCAGAACUUUCCAUAGAUAAAAUAAAGAUUCCAAUUUAAGUCUUUAUUUCUUUUCAGAUUCAUCUAACUUUUCAGUUGAUCUUGAGCAAGAGAAACAAGUGAACGUUGAUGUGCCAGGAUCCCUGUCAGUCCAUUGCAUAGAGGAUUAAGAAAUAAUAGGAUCACAGUUGGAGAAACACUGUUGGGGGUCUGUGUAAUGAUCCUCUUUCUUACUCAUGAACCAAAUGGGAGCAAAGCCUUUUCUGCUAUUUCUUCUCUCAACUCAGGUUUGGACUUCAAACUUCCAUCUCCCUUUCUCUCCUCCUCUCAAGAUGUAUGUGGGAGUUCUGUGACUAAGAACUCAUCUUGGUACCUGUAGGCAGUGUAUACAGUGACCAUUGGCAGUAGCUGAAAAUAACUGGCCAGAGCAGAAGCAGCCUGGUAAAGUUGGAGAACAGAGGAAGCCAUGGCGAGGGAGGGGAGAGGCCAUCCAGGUUUGAGGCUCAGAAGAUGGCAGCAAGGGAGAGGCCAGGAAGGAAAAAACUGUAAUGUUCUAUAACAUAUCCAUAUCUGAUAUUAGCUAACAAUCUUCUAAGUGAGUUUAUUACAGUGUUUCAAGAUCCUAUUGUUCAUUUAUAGUAUUUCUUUCUAGGCCUUCAAGUUUUCCAAGACCCUUGCCCACUUUUAAAGCUUAAAUACCUGAUGAUUCUGUCCAAAACCUUAAAAGAUAGCAUUUUUUUGUUUCAAGUUUUUAAUCAGAACAUAGUAUAGUCAAGAGCACCAUGUAGAAACAGUAGUUCCCUGUUUGCAGCCAAUGUUGCUCUGUCUCUAUUUUGAACAUUUGCCUCCAGAACCAUUGUUGCUGAUGCAAAUUCAGAUGGAAAGGACUGAAAAAUAAAAUUUGCAGG